CUAAAAAUAUGUAAACAUAUGCAAGUUUUUUUUUCUAACGGGGAUUUUGAUUUUCCCGUCCAUGCCCUUUGGCUUUUCCUUCAUUUUUUUUGGAAAACUGAUGCCCACGUGUUUCAAAGGGAUCUCAAAGAUGAAAAUGGAGAGAUGUCAUGAUGGUGAUGUAAGGAGUAAAACUGUGUAUGGGGAUGCGCAAACCUCAGGGUGAGAGUUUGGCAUACUUAUUUGGUGGAAGCUAAGGUGCAACUCUCAGGGUAAGAGUUGGCAUAUAUUUUUUUGGUGGAUGGAAGGGUGCAUGUUGUGCGCAACUUCUCAGUGUGAGAGUCGGCUUUAUUUAGUGGGUGC
RNAcentral lists this long non-coding RNA (342 nucleotides) under Sorghum bicolor (sorghum). Its description in RNAcentral is "long non-coding RNA (SBIC_LNC010382)". The record is from RNAcentral. Lineage: Eukaryota; Viridiplantae; Streptophyta; Magnoliopsida; Poales; Poaceae.